UAUUUGCUGUGAUGAAUCAAAAGGACGGUAUCUGAGAAUGGUGUCCCUUUAGAAAGUGAUCCUUCCUUGAUUAUACACCCUGAACUGAUCAAAUACUAUGAGCAAAUG
Lolium rigidum is the source of this 108-nucleotide small nucleolar RNA. RefSeq annotates it as small nucleolar RNA Z118/Z121/Z120. The transcript has a single exon. The record is from RefSeq and is a predicted model, not a curated record. NCBI's taxonomy places the organism in Eukaryota, Viridiplantae, Streptophyta, Magnoliopsida, Poales, Poaceae.